This is a long non-coding RNA of Astatotilapia calliptera (eastern happy), 1283 nucleotides long. NCBI's taxonomy places the organism in Eukaryota, Metazoa, Chordata, Actinopteri, Cichliformes, Cichlidae. The record is from Ensembl.
UCGGAAUUGCAUGAAGCUUCUGUUGUGAAGUGCUUCCGUGCUGCAGACUUGUCUCUGCUUUGUGGACUGCAGGAGAUCUGUUUUGUGGACCCAAUUCAAACGUCAAACCUUUGGUGUUGUUGUUAUCGUUGUUGUUCUUAUUAUUAUUAUUAUUGUUAUUAUUAUUAUUAUUAUUAUUAUUGCUUUUUCUCAGCAGGAGAAUGUUCUUCUUGCUUUCUUGGUACAUUUGCAUUGUAAACAUGCAAAGUUCUUUACAUCUAUGCAAAAAGUCCUGAACUGAUUGUCAGUUCUGUGUCAGAAAUACACACCACUUCUUGAAAAGAGGAAAAAAAAAUAGUAAUGUACGCACACAGUUUAAAAUCAUACACUUAUUGUUUGAACCUUGAAAACCAGUGUUUUAAAGUUUUGGGCCUCCUAUUUCAGUAUUUUUAGUGAACUGAAGGAUCUGAUGGGUCUGCAUUAACACGGCCUCAUUCUUUCAAUAGUUUUAACACUAGACCGUGCAUUAAAGCCUAUUAGCAUCUGUUUGUGUCAUUUAGUAGAAAACAGAUCUUGUUUAAGUCCACACUACGUUCACUUGUAAACUAUGCAUAGCAGUAUUUAUUUUUCUAUUUAUACUUUUUUUUCCCCCCCCAUGUUUCCUGUAUUCAACAUAUCCUGGGAACUGAAUUUACCUUUUAUUUACUGGCCAUAUUGUCUUUUCACUUUCUGGCCAGUUAAUGAACCUCUUUCAGGUCUCUGCUGCUUAGUUCUGGCUUUAAGAGCAAACUUUAAAAAAAAAAGAAAAAAAGGUGCAAAUACUGUCACAUGCCGCGCUUCUGCUUUUCUUGUGUUGCUUUCGGUCUUGUGGCUGGAACUAGUGAAAAAGGAAUUGGACACCAAAAGUUAAGAGUGCAUUUGUCUGUUUGGCCCACUUGCUCAGUGCUUUUUGUGAUCUCAGCUGUUAACUACGGUUUCAUAUUCCACUUAAUUUUAUAGAUAAGUUGUGUUUUGUUUUGUUUUUUUGUGUUUUGUUUUUUGUUAAACUAGAAUAUUUUUAAUUGAAUAAAUAUUUCACACGAGAAAGAAUUUUAUUUUAAUGCUUGUUUAGAGUAUGCUUAGUCUCUUUACCUUGUUUCAAACUAUUUCAGCAAAAUGUGUUUCUGAUUAUACAAUACACAUUUAUAAACAGAGCACUGCAACCUAAUCUCUACAAUAUUUUGUAUUAUCAUUACUGCACAGUUUAAAAAAGAAAAAAAAAAAAGAGGGGGGGAAGUUUAUUUUUUGUUUUUUUUUUUAAUAAA